Molecule: ribosomal RNA, 450 nt
Filed under: uncultured bacterium
Lineage: Bacteria
Description: partial 16S ribosomal RNA
Rfam family: Bacterial small subunit ribosomal RNA
Source: RNAcentral
GUGGGGAAUAUUGGACAAUGGGCGAAAGCCUGAUCCAGCCAUGCCGCGUGUGUGAAGAAGGUCUUCGGAUUGUAAAGCACUUUAAGUUGGGAGGAAGGGCAGUAAGUUAAUACCUUGCUGUUUUGACGUUACCGACAGAAUAAGCACCGGCUAACUUCGUGCCAGCAGCCGCGGUAAUACGAAGGGUGCAAGCGUUAAUCGGAAUUACUGGGCGUAAAGCGCGCGUAGGUGGUUUUGUAAGUUGGAGGUGAAAUCCCCGGGCUCAACCUGGGAACUGCCUCCAAAACUGCAUGACUAGAGUACGGUAGAGGGUAGUGGAAUUUCCUGUGUAGCGGUGAAAUGCAUAGAUAUAGGAAGGAACACCAGUGGCGAAGGCGACUACCUGGACUGAUACUGACACUGAGGUGCGAAAGCGUGGGGAGCAAACAGGAUUAGAAACCCUGGUAGUCC